This 3837-nucleotide long non-coding RNA is filed under the name Sorghum bicolor (sorghum). RNAcentral's name for it is "long non-coding RNA (SBIC_LNC004838)". The record is from RNAcentral. Lineage: Eukaryota; Viridiplantae; Streptophyta; Magnoliopsida; Poales; Poaceae.
UGGCGUUAAGGUGGCCACUUGCUAUCCUGUAAGGGCGAGAAGAAGAAGUUCUCGUUAAUUGACCAUCACCAGUGGUCAGAACGAGCCUGCUUAGUACGCCACAGGUAGCAGUGGAAUGAGCGUCCAGCGAUGCUCAUCGGACUUCUAAAGUGGGAGGAUCCCCGGCAUCACCGUCAGAGGUCCUUAGGAGAAUGACAGGUGUCGGUGGGCCCAAACACUUAGGAGGUUCUGCCACAAAGACGAGUAUGAUCCACCCAUCAUCCUUGGAAGACCGUUCCUCAGCACCGUUAAAGCAAUCAUCUACAUUGGAACUAGAGAAGUCCAUAUGCACUUCCCCUCAGAGAAGGUACGCCGCUAUUUCACUGAGCCUAACUAUAUCGUUGAAGAAUCUAAGCAGGUUAGAAAGCGACGCAACCGCAACUAGAGGAGGCAAAUCAUCAAGGACGGAUGGGCAGACUACGAAGGAGAAGUAGUAAGGUCAGAAGACGUACAGUUUAAACAGAAUUAUCCUGAGGAUACUGAAGCACCGAGUCAGGUGUGGAGAGAGAAGAUAACUAUACAUGAAGAGGAGGCACCGCCCGAAGUACCGACUACGCCACCCAAUGAAUCCCAGGACAAUUGAAGAAAAUGGAGAGUCCUGUUCGGAGGACUUAAAAACACCAAACGCCUUGCAAAGAGGUAAACUUGGUAGUUAUCCUUUUCCCUUUUAAUGAUUUAAAAUAGUUCAUUUAGUUAAUCAUGUUCAUACUAUCCUAAAAAGAAAAUAAAAAUGUUAAAAAACAGUAAGCCCCAUGUGAGUAUACGAGUGGCAUAAAACCCAUAAGUACAUUCACUAUGGUGGCAUAAAAAUAAAAUAUUUCUGCUUUAUAAAACGAAAAUAUAAAAAUAGGGAGUAAUAUUAAGGAGGCUCAAUAUGAUAAAGGCUAGAUAUUUAUGCUAACACUUAAUCAGUUCCACAAAGCAUUGUUGUCUAUUUGAGCUCCACAGAAUUUAGGAAUUAAGAAGACUAGUAGAUGGAGGACAUUCUAAUCGCUGUCAGAAUGCUGCUGACUUUCAAAUACACCUCUGCCACCUGCUAGCUACAUCAAGAGAAAUUACAUCAAAAUUCAGCUUCGGGAGAGCACCCCCAUUUAUCCCGAUAAGUAUUUCUAUCUAUCUUUAUACUUUUACUAUAUUAAAUAUACAUAACUAUGGAAAACAAAAUAAAGAUUUUAUGCUUCUAUAAAUCUAUGUCUUUUGCUUAGUGUGUUUAAUAAAUAAAUAAAGUGGCUAUGCUAAACUGGAUUCUAAUAAAUAAAACUCUAGCAUGGAUAUGAUGAAUAGUUGCUCUGCUUAAUUUGCAAAUUUGAAGUUCUCUCUCAAGUUUAGACAUAACUGUUAUAAUUUAAAGCUUGCUCCAAACCUAAACUUGUGGGAUGAAAACUUGAUCUGAAGUCUAAGUUGUUAACGGAUAUGAUAUGGGAAGGUUGAGCUACUGUUUAUCUGUUCCUAGAGAUGCUAGAAUUCUAUAGAAUUUUAUCUUUAAAAAAAAUCUUUAAAAUAUUGCAUGAUGAGUUCCUGUAUGAUGAGAGUUUAAAUUCCUACCACAGCCAUAUAUAGAUGCUUGCUAGACUUUGAGCCAUGCAUUUACUUUUUACUGCUUAUGAGCAUUGAGUGUGGUCAAGCUGUGUAGACCCCUAGGAGCUUGUCAUGUGGUUAAAUCAAGAUUCACUUGCACGUUCACUCACAUAUGCUACUUCUACUCCGGAAGUACCAUCCACAUAUAUCGACUCAUUUCCAUAUCCAGAACCACCCAAAAAUAUUCUACUUCUAAUCCGGGAGGGAAUAGCCAAAAACAUUUCUGUUUUUCCCCUGUGAAAUAAAUGCUCAAGUUAUCUUGUUACUACCACUUGCUAUAUUAUCUUAUGAGAUGAGUGCUCUAAAAAAAAGAUACGAGGAAAUAAAAAGGGGCAAGUGCCCGGAACCUCGAAACAAAAGAAAAAAAGUGAGACGAGAGGUAAAAAUGGACAAGUGUCCGACAGUAGAAUUAGGGGUACAAGAUACCCACCUGAGAGGAAAGAAAAAGAAAAAAAAAGAAGAGCAUCUCAUUCUCCUCACAAAAUUCCAAAAACCAAGGAAGGUAUGUAUCCCCUCAAAGAGCAAAAGUAGAAUUAGACUUUCACCAUUGUUAUCACCAUCAUCACCAUACACCAUUCAUUCGCCACACAUGCACAUCUUGAUUUGGCUUAUUGAUUUGUUUCUUUGGAUCCAUGGUUUGACUAUACAAUAAAUGUCUUGUAAGUAUGUAUAUUUUAUCUCCCACCUAUGAGCUCCAGAUAUUAAAGCCUUAUUAGAGUAGGGUGAGAGAGAAGGCAAUGUCACUAUGCCAUAUACCACAAAUAACACAUAUCUUGAGAGAAGGCAUAUACCAUCACUGCCUUGGUAAGGAUUCAGAAAUACCACAAAGGAGAGAUUUGAGGGGGUCAUACAAGGAAUCUCAGAGUUUUAUUUGAAAAUCUGCAAAAACUCCAGAGCUAUAGCUGAUCAAGAAUAAGAGACAUGGCACUUGAUUAGACCGUUCUAUCUUUUAACUACUCAUGACAGAAGUGAUGGUUACUAGUCCCAUGGUGAAAGGUAGAGUAAGUAAGUUUUAAGUCUUGACAGUUUACUCUAACUCAGAGAUGAGACCUUAUUUAAAAGCAUGUGUACCGUCAAUUUUUAAAGUAUUGCAGCAACUUCUAAUCUAUCCUUGCUCAGGGACGAGCAAGAGGUAAGCUUGGGGGAGUUUGUUGACGGUCCUCAAGUAUCAAAUUUAAUUAUCAAAUAAACAAAGAAAAGGAUCCAAAUGAAAUCAACAUCUAGACUUAGGGUUUUAUCUGACAGAAUUCCACGAGUUUUGGUGUUUGUCUAUUUCUGCAGGGGGUUAUCAAGAAAUACGGAAGAAAGGCCCACACGUCGGUAUUACAUAGAGAUAUUAACGUGCCGCGCAAUUAUCUUACAUCUAGAAGACUCCAGAAGCCACGGGAAGGAAGCGGAGGCUGAACGGGGCCAGGCACUGGGCGCCUGCCCACUUGACCGGGGCGCCCGCCCCCUGUUGGUGUCCAAUCAGGACACUCUUUCGGGAAAGAUCUCCACCGACCAAAAGGAUCAAGGAUAACCGUUCAAUCAAUGUCGGUUUGAUCCAACAGCCCAUAUUCACUUGAAGGGACUAUAAAACCAGACCCCCUGGCCCUUGGAGGAGAGAGCCUCUCAACCCUAAUUCAUUAUUCUCAAGGGACAAGAAGCCCCUGAUCAAGCCUAGAGCCACCACAUCAAUUAGACAUCUAGAUUAGCAUAGCUACAUAGGAUUAGAACUAGAAGGAGUCAUUCUUCGAUUGGUUUCCGGAUCUGUCAAGAGGAUUCUUGGUAAUUCUCUAAUUGUUCUUCUAAUUGUUCUUCUAAUCAUCUUUAUUCUUCAAUAUUAUGAAUAUGACUUUGUUCUACUUCAAUAUAUUGCUUAUGACUUUGCUCUACUUGUUUAUAUUCAAGAUUAUAUUGUUCUUAGUUUAUCAUAGUUAUGUACUUGGCUUAGUUAGAUUGGAUCUAUAUACAUGUUUAGGAUCGUAUAGCGUUUAUCCAUCGGAUCCAUGGGUAAAUGAUAGAUAUUGUGUAGGCAUGGUGCUUAUACCGUAUUUUUCUGCGAUUGUACCUAAUAUGCCAGAUCGUGGGGUAGUUCGUGAUAGUGAUAGUUUCAUUGAUUCUUAUAUAGUCCCCCUCUCAUGUAUUGGCUGGCAGAGCAAUAUUAUUACAGGGGAGUGAUUGCUAUGUUUCUCAUUUACCUUGCUAAUAUCACUAUGCAAGGGCGUAGUCUUGUCUCGC